RNAcentral lists this long non-coding RNA (394 nucleotides) under Hordeum vulgare. RNAcentral's name for it is "long non-coding RNA (HVUL_LNC009397)". Lineage: Eukaryota; Viridiplantae; Streptophyta; Magnoliopsida; Poales; Poaceae. The record is from RNAcentral.
AUCCCUGACGAACAACGGUCUUACCGGGGUUGACCUGAUCCGCUGCUGGGUCGAAUGGCGGAUUCUUCCUCUGAGCCGCCGAGAUGGCCUAAUGUGUGAAUUUGACGGCACUCUAGAUCAUCCCCAAUGCUACUUUCACACAGCAUUAACAGAGAAAGACAUUGUUGCCAUCAUCAAAAAGCUGACCGGCGAGCCCGCAGGAUAGUGCGGCCAAAUCGACCUUAAGCCCUUCUGCAAGAUUAACCCGGCGCCCAAGGUAACCAAAGCUGACCCGCCCUUGAUUUUUAUUCCUUCUGUUUUAUUGCCAUCAUGACUUCAUACCAUAUACCUUUCCAGAAAGGCGACAAGUUCUGGUCCAUGAGACCUAAAAAGCAAGCCAUGAAAACUGCUAAGC